AAUUUUCAGAUUCUGAGAUGUCAGAAGUGUAGCAUGCCCUUUUCCAUUUUCUGGAAAUGUUGUCAAAUGAUGCUGAAAUUAUCAAAAAUUCUGGCCUGAUGCUUGGUCCAACCCUUAUCUGGCUGUGGUGCCUCCAUCAACCUGACGCUCUUUAGUAACCGGUCCAAGGCUUUGUAUGGAGGCCACCAUGAGUGGCCAUCUGAGUACCAGGACUUUGCUACAGGACCGGUACUCCCUUCUCCGAUGAACUCCACUAUCAGAAAUGUGUUGGUCCUGAGAUGCCAUCAACUAGAUGAAUACCAAGUUCUGAGGAUGGAAUGGGAUAAUCAAAAAAAGGUUCAUGAUUGUUGAAGGUAGUGUAGGCCACGUAAAUGUCAUCCCUCGCUGAAAUUAUAUUUUGCAGCUUUGCAACUUUCCCAUCAAUGUAAACAAAACUGUUGGCCUGGUCCAGUUUAAGAGUGUAAGAGCAGGUUUUUAUUUCUUUGUACUGUGAAGAUCCAUGAAAACAUUCAGGUAGAGGGCCAGCCAUGUGUUGUUUUCUGAGCAGUGGUGGGUUGUUUUUCUCCUUUUUUUUGCUGCAGCUUUGCAUUUCUGAGAACCUUCUCACAAUUUGACUCAGUGGACAUGUAGGUUUCCGCAGGAGUCUCUUCAGCUUGUUAAGGUGAUCCUCAUACUGGAAAGCACUGAAGUUGUCGAGGACACCAUGGUGUUUUGCAUCUUCUGCAAGAUGUACAAGACAGUGGAUGUUGUAGGACAGGAAUUUGGGGCCGUAUAGCUGUCCAAAGUGUGUGACAAAAAGUCGCAGAAUAUCAUUGGCAUAGUCGAUGUGAUCACCAAUUAGGCUGUUAUUGCACAAGAUGAAGAUUCCCACAAAAAACAGCAGGAAGUUUUUGUACACCUCCGUGCUGAGUAGGUCUUUCAGCAUAACAGGGCCUGUGUACAAUAAAAACUGUCUAAACUCGGUCGCCUUCCAUCGAUCUAUUUCCCUCACUGCCCUUGGUUUGUGCGCAAAUUCCAUAGGCACAUUUUUUUUGGCACCAACCAACCUUUCUGUCAGCACAGUGGCUUGAAAUCCUGACAGCCUGCAAGUUAGAGGACCCAGUCGAAGCCACAAGUGGAGAAGCCGCCUCAUGACACCAAGGCACACAAGGUGCAUGUAAUCAAGGGGGAAUCCAGAGACCAUAUCCAAGGAUGUUUCUUCUAGUGGUGAGAUGCCAUGGUGGUGAUCUGGAUCAGUCUUAUUUCUGAAGUUGUCAUUAUUUCUAAGAGGCAUGUCAUUUCUAGGGAAUGUCAUCCUGUUCUCCAGGUGCACACCAUCCUGAAUGCACUUUUCGCAUCCAUGGUAGCCUGCAUGGCCCUUCACUUUUUUCAGAAAUGCACGUGCAGAUGAAGUCCUCAAGAUACUCAUCCAGUGAGCUUGGUUUACUAUCACCACAAAAUAAACCUAUUGUCACAGGUUCCUCCUGCACCAAAUGUUGCACAGUUACAAGAAUGGGCCAGAAUUGAGUUGCUGAACUCUUGUAGAGAGGCAGACCAUCGAUGCUCACCUGGAGCUUCAAAUUGCUCACAUUCCGCAAAAUGUCCAUGUUGUUGUAGAGUACACCUGAAAUGGAUUCCAGUAGACCAAAAUGAUAGUACUGGCCACCAGCCUUGUUUUGGACUUCAGUUCUAUUUGAACGCACUGUUCCUAAUAGUGUCCUGGCAUCUUUUGGCAGAUUCAGAUCAUGCUUGCGGAGGAUAUUAAGUAAUGAAUUUAGUGCCACAUGUGUUAUUUGAUGUUCUGUUGCCCAGGUUGCCAAGUCAUCAUUAAGGGAAUUUGGAUGCAGUUCAGAAUCUGUGUCUGAGUCUGUGUCAGAUUCACUGCUAUGUGAAGCACUUGCCAUGGUGACACAUUCAGGCUCAUCAAUAUGGGACAAACCGUCCAUAAAGUCAUUGUUGUCAUCAGCGAUGCUGCUUUUGUCACUGUUCAUGCCACCAUACUGUUCCAUGUUCCAUGAUGAUGGUAGUGAUGCUUCCAUUGACUGGAGUUGUUUGCCCACCUUAGCCUUGGCUUUUCUUCGCAAUGUCCAGUAAGAUGUCUUUUUGCAAUCCAUGGUACUGUGAUAUUAACACACACAGAAAAUGCAGUGCACUGACCUGAUAAGCCAAAUGCAGUGGUUCUCAACUCAAGUUUUGGAAGACCCUUGCAUUGCACAUUUUGGAUGUCUUUUACAUGUGGUUUAACUCAUCAUAUAAUAGAAUCCCCUUAACCCAACAGAGCAUGCUAGAUGAGACGGACAUCCAGAAUGUGUCGUGUUAUAGGUCCCCAAGAUUGGAAUUCAGAACCAAUGUUUAAUAUGCGUGACAAUGCGUAAUGUCUAAUAAUUCUGUCACAAUAAAUACACAUACCUUGGUUUUGAUCAAGUGUGAACUGUGGAUAUCGUCGUUGAGUAAGUGUGGUUGACUGUAGAGAACUUUCUGUGAUUGGGGAAGCAAUAUAACAGGUAAUGUCAGUUUUGUCGUUGUGUUUAAAGUAUUGGAUCUAAAUGUUUGCCUAGAAAUAGCAUGCAAAAGCUUAAUAAAUAUGUGUGGUCACUUA
Carassius carassius (crucian carp) is the source of this 2578-nucleotide long non-coding RNA. RefSeq lists it as uncharacterized. The transcript has 4 exons. NCBI's taxonomy places the organism in Eukaryota, Metazoa, Chordata, Actinopteri, Cypriniformes, Cyprinidae. The record is from RefSeq and is a predicted model, not a curated record.